CCUACGGGUGGCAGCAGUGAGGAAUAUUGGUCAAUGGCCGGAAGGCUGAUCCAGCCAAGUCGCGUGAGGGAAUAAGGCCCUAUGGGUCGUAAACCUCUUUUGUCAGGGAGCAAAGGCGUCCACGAGUGUACGAAAGGAGAGUACCUGACGAAAAAGCAUCGGCUAACUCCGUGCCAGCAGCCGCGGUAAUACGGGGGAUGCGAGCGUUAUCCGGUUUUAGUGGGGUUAAAGGGUGGGUGGGCGGAGUGUCAAGUCAGCGGUAAAAUUUCGGGGCUCAACCCCGUGGUGCCGUUGAGACUGACACCCUUGAGUGAGUGAGAGGUAAGCGGAAUGCGUGGUGUAGCGGUGAAAUGCAUAGAUAUCACGCAGAACGCCGAUUGCGAAGGCAGCUUACCGGCGCUCAACUGACGCUGAGGCACGAAAGUGCGGGUAGCGAACAGGAUUAGAUACCCGGGUAGUC
This 460-nucleotide ribosomal RNA is filed under the name uncultured bacterium. RNAcentral's name for it is "partial 16S ribosomal RNA". It matches the Rfam family "Bacterial small subunit ribosomal RNA", at positions 338 to 795 of the family's 1533-position model. The record is from RNAcentral.